This 590-nucleotide long non-coding RNA is filed under the name Trifolium pratense (red clover). Its description in RNAcentral is "long non-coding RNA (TPRA_LNC002704)". Lineage: Eukaryota; Viridiplantae; Streptophyta; Magnoliopsida; Fabales; Fabaceae. The record is from RNAcentral.
UCAAGUCGUGCUGCUCUGCUAAGAAGCCACUUUGCACUUUGCACUUUGCAACGUAGUUUCUCAUAUUGUUUUUGCCUGAUUGUGAUGUUUCUAUUUGAAUAUUUUUGCCUGAUUGUGAUGUUUCCAUUUGAAUAUCAAUGUUUCUCCACUAUGGUCUAUGUAUAUUUCUCAUGAGAGAACCCAAUUAUGUAAAUGGUGCAUAAAUCCCUACAUUGUGUUUUGGUAUUUUUACAGUGAUUGAAUUGCAGCAAAAUCACAUUUUAGCUUCAAUUGAGGGCUUUAUUUGUGUUUUGAUUUUUGCGAAUGAGGGAAUAACUUGUUUUGAUAAGAAUGUUAAAUGGCAGUGGAUGACAAUUACCAGAUGUUAUUACUGGUAGUGCUGCGAUGAGAAAAAAAUUCCCAUAAUUGAAACAAAACUUUUUACUUGAAAGGAUUACAGGAAAACUAGAAAAGUAGCGUAAGAUCAACGAGAGAGAAGGUAAAGUGAUAAAGUGAAGUAAAGCAGCCUAUGAGUUACAGAUCUUCUAUGUUUCUCUCCCGUUGAUUUAAUCCAAUGGCCAAGAAUAGAGCAGCAGACACAGCAGCAGAUA